This is a long non-coding RNA of Bos taurus (domestic cattle), 1715 nucleotides long. The record is from Ensembl. Lineage: Eukaryota; Metazoa; Chordata; Mammalia; Artiodactyla; Bovidae.
GGGGACGGGGCACUCCGAGGCGAGACCACCUCGGCCCAGCCCAGGCCCUGUCGCCGCCCCACAGCCCCGAGGGAGAGACUCAACUCCACCGUGGCGGGGUACCAGACGCUCAGAACAGCUGGCCACCUGUCGGGGGUCACCCACCCGAGAAGGGCUAACAGUGCCGCCGACCCCAGACCCUCCUCUCAGACACAACGUUCAGGGCUGGACUCACCUGGCUGGUCCGCAGGUCCCCUCGGAAAGGUAGCACUGGUGGAACGCCAGCUCUGAAGCUCCCAACAAGCCACCACCCUGCUCGGUGCCUCAGUUUCUCCCGGGUACCCGGGGCGGAGUCAGCAAACGCUGCGCACGCACGCGUGGGCACGUACACGUGGGCCCGGACGCACCGCCUCUGCUAUUUGACGGACAUGAAGGAACCCAGCGCCACGCGCAUGCGUAAGGCAUCCUCCGGGGUCGGGGGCGGGUUGCCCAGUAUCUGUGCGUGACAGCCAGAGGUCCCCCCGCCCCCCAUUUUAUUAUCCAGCCCUGUCCCUCUGUCCUUACUGAACCUCAAGGCCUCCGGACCUCAAGGCUUGAUGAGAGGCAGGGGCCCUGCUCCUCUGGACCCGCACGUGCCCACCCAGCGCUGACCCCACGUGAUAGAGGAGAGACCGAGAGGUUGAGUGAGGAGCCUCAGAAAAGGCUCGUAAAUGCUAUAAUCAGCGUUAUUUGCUGCAGGUUUGCGUUUGCAGGACCCUCGGCCCCUGGCGGAGCCGGGAGAAGGAGAGGUGGGCGUGCGGAGGAACCGGUCGCAUUACUUGGUAGCUGAGUGGAUCCAUAUCAAGGGGCCUGAGUGGACAGUGAGGACCACAGUGUAGGGACCGGGUCCCCCUUCCCAUGCUCUACGCGACUGCUGUCCCCUGAGUGCUGAGCAGAGGAGAAGCUGUAAACCAAGAGGCCCAGCCCGCAGUGGAAGAUGAAGUGCUGAUGAAUGAGAGCAGGAAGGAGCGCUCCCGGCUCAUCGGGGCUGUCAACCACCUCUCCUGACGGACUGGCACCUCCACCAGGGCAGCGGGUGGUGCUCCGUGCCAGAGUGGCCCACAUACAGCACAUGUGCAACGAAGACCUGCUGAACGCUGGGAGGCAGGCCUCUCCUAGCCCCACCUCCCCAUCUUCCAAAACUCAGAGCACAAGGGGCUUGGGAGGCAGGACCCGGCCUCCAGGAGCUGCCCAGGUUCAGGAGGUGGCCCCGCAGCACGGCCUGCCUGCCUGCCAUGCAUGGGCUUGCUGCCUGCCUCCCACAUCCUGGGCUUCUAGACAGCACCUGUGUUCAUUCCCCUCUUUCCUCAUUUGUUUUUCAAUGACUCUUCCGGAGGCUCUGCUGUAGGUCGAACGCGGUCCCCCCCACUCAAAUUCAUCUGUUAAAUCCUAAUCCACAAUGUGAUUGCAUUAGGAGGGGGAAUCUUUUGCAGGGUGAGUAGUCGUGAAGGUGGAGCCCUCAUGAAUAAGGAUAGUUGUCGUUCUUUAGUCGCUCAGACUCUUUGGGGCCCCAAGGACUGUAGUACCCUCAGGCUCCUCUGUCCAUGGGAUUUCCCAGGCAAGAAUACUGGGCUAGGUGGCCAUUUCCUUCUCCAGGGUAUAACCCUGUAAACAUUCACGUUUAACAUCUGUCCAUUUCCCUCUAGCUAAAUCACAUCUUGAUAGGAAAAAAACAAAGCAAAACCUUUUUUUUUUUU